UCUUUUUUUUUUUUUUUUGGUAUCAGGGAUUGAACCCAGAGGCUCUUCACCACUGAGCCAUAUUCCCAGCCCCUUUUUAUAUUUUAUUUAGAGACAGGGUCUCGCUGAGUUGCUUAGGGUCUCACUAAGUUCCUGAGGCUGGCUCUGAACUCGUGAUCCUCCUGCCUCAGCCUCCCGACCUGCUGGGAUUACAGGUGUGUGCCACCGCACCCAGCUGAUGCUUUGAAUCUUAAGAUGCCACCAAAGAGUAAGAUUGCAAUGCAUUAGGUACUGAACCUUAAUGGAUAGGUUUAAUUAUAUUUUUUUCUGACUGCAGCAUGGUUACUGAUAAAGAAUACAAACAAAAAAAUACAGAGAGAAUAUAAACAUCAGUGAAUAUAAACUCAGAGAGCAGAGUGGCUCGUGGAGUCUCAGCUCCUAUGGACGACACUGUCAGCAUGUUUGUGUAGACCCUUUAUUCAUCUUGAAGACAUUGAAGUCAGGUGUCUUUGGGUUGGUGUGGCAUUUCCUCCCUUCCUUCCCUCACUCUUUACUGGACUGGGGCGAAUAUAACCGUGGUCCUCACCUGUUCCCAUCCUGAUUACCCCAGCUGCUUGGCCGGCCCUCGGAAGUGGAGAUUUUGCUAUUCCUAACAUGCUCUCGUGAUGUUUUGAUAUUUCCUACUGUAGUUCAUGAAAAAUGCAUUGGGGCUUGUCAGGAAUCCCGCUCAGAAAGGGUUCGGGAGCUAAGAGAGUUAUUAGCUGAACGCAGGAGGGCUCUCCUCGGCUGUGGUCCGGACCCCUCCACCUGCCCGGGGGCUGCUGGGGAGUUCAGAUUAGGAAGCUAGAACUUCCUCCCCCGGGGACCCUCCUUUGCAGGAGGGUCUGUGGCUCAGCAUGCAGUAAAAUAUCCACAGCUCUGAGUUUGAAACUCUGAUGAAAUGUGGAUGUACCAAUAUUUGCCAGGGGGAUUGGUAAAAUACCCACGUGAGGACACAGGCCCAUUGUGUGUGACAGCUCCAGGCACCUUCAACCCAACCAAGCAAUAGGACUCCAGGCUUUGAGGGAGUUUCAAGCUAAAUUAUCUGAGACAUUGAAACUGCUACCCAGGGUCAGCCAUGGCCAGGACUGAGGCAGAGGCAGGAGCAGGG
Molecule: long non-coding RNA, 1129 nt
Filed under: Marmota monax (woodchuck)
Lineage: Eukaryota; Metazoa; Chordata; Mammalia; Rodentia; Sciuridae
Source: RNAcentral